GCCUGGCUGGCUUAGGCAGUAGAGCGUGUGACUUCUGAUCUCAGGGUCAUGAGUUCAAGCUCCAUGUUGGGCA
Molecule: transfer RNA, 73 nt
Filed under: Mustela putorius furo (domestic ferret)
Lineage: Eukaryota; Metazoa; Chordata; Mammalia; Carnivora; Mustelidae
Rfam family: tRNA
About the family: Transfer RNA (tRNA) molecules are approximately 80 nucleotides in length.
Source: Rfam by way of RNAcentral